GGGGCUGUGAUUGAGGAACUCAAUGUGAGAAUCAGGGAGCUGGAAGAUCAAGUACAGAUCCUUCAAAGACAAUUGCCUGAAGAGGUUAGGAGAAACGCAACGGAAGAUGAAGGAGCAGCAGCCCAAAACAACCCAGAGGAUGAUGUUGAGGAGCUCAGAGAGAGAAUCAGGGAGCUGGAACUGGAAAACAGAAGACUUCGUGGGCUUCAAGACGAUUAGAUGUGUCUUCAGACCAGGUCCACACCCGAGGCCUGUGUACCACAGUUCCACUUGUGGGAGCAAAUAAAGUGCAUCAUAAUCCUGAAUACUGAAAACCGGCUUUCAUUUAGUGCUGAACUUCACAAAGAAGAAAUGAAUUUCAAUUCAUCUAAGGCUUAGGAAUAGAUUUAAACUU
Tachysurus vachellii is the source of this 394-nucleotide long non-coding RNA. RefSeq lists it as uncharacterized. Lineage: Eukaryota; Metazoa; Chordata; Actinopteri; Siluriformes; Bagridae. The transcript is spliced from 3 exons. The record is from RefSeq and is a predicted model, not a curated record.